UUAACGGUGUAAAAUAAUCCAAAUCAGAUGAAAAUUUUAUAGAAAUUUUUUUUAUUAUUUAAAAUAAGAUCAGUACCUCUAAUCUUAAAUUCAAGCCUUCUAUCAUUAAUUUUUAUGAGAUUUUUAUUUUCAACCGUUCAUUUUUAGACUACUCGUUUGAUAGGUAAAUGAUAACGAAAAAUUAUGAAAUUUAGUUUUCAAAUACUUUCAAUAGUGUAGAUCAAGCCUAACGGAGCCGAUCGUCGAUUUGGAACUGGCAUCAUUGAAAACAACUCGGUAGUACGGAGACAUCCGUGCUACCGAUAAUAUACCAGCCUAGCUAUAUAUGGAUAUAUAUUACGUCUGAAUAUAUCAUUAUCUCACAUUAAAAUAUAAAUUUUACAUAAUCGAUGUUUUACUAUUAAAAUACCAAUAUUAAGUAUCUUAUAAUUUACCAUA
Molecule: long non-coding RNA, 438 nt
Filed under: Ananas comosus (pineapple)
Lineage: Eukaryota; Viridiplantae; Streptophyta; Magnoliopsida; Poales; Bromeliaceae
Description: long non-coding RNA (ACOM_LNC024964)
Source: RNAcentral